GACGAACGCUGGCGGCGCGCUUAACACAUGCAAGUCGAGCGGUAAGGCUCCUUCGGGAGUACACGAGCGGCGAACGGGUGAGUAACACGUGAGUAAUCUGCCCUUCACUUCGGGAUAACCACCGGAAACGGUGGCUAAUACCGAAUACGACCAGUCUUCGCAUGAGGUGCUGGUGGAAAGUCUUUUCGGUGAAGGAUGUGCUCGCGGCCUAUCAGCUUGUUGGUGGGGUAAUGGCCUACCAAGGCUUCGACGGGUAGCCGGCCUGAGAGGGUGACCGGCCACACUGGGACUGAGACACGGCCCAGACUCCUACGGGAGGCAGCAGUGGGGAAUAUUGGACAAUGGGCGAAAGCCUGAUCCAGCAACGCCGCGUGAGGGAUGACGGCCUUCGGGUUGUAAACCUCGUUCAGUACCGACGAAGCGCCCUGUCGGGUGGUGACGGUAGGUACAGAAGAAGGACCGGCCAACUACGUG
Molecule: ribosomal RNA, 474 nt
Filed under: uncultured bacterium
Lineage: Bacteria
Description: partial 16S ribosomal RNA
Rfam family: Bacterial small subunit ribosomal RNA
Source: RNAcentral